GUCGAGCGAUUUACUUCGGUAAAGAGCGGCGGACGGGUGAGUACCUCUGUGGGUAACCUGCCCUAUACACACGGAUAACAUACCGAAAGGUAUGCUAAUACGAGAUGACAUAAGAGAUUCGCAUGGAUUUCUUAUCAAAGCUUUUGCGGUAUAGGAUGGACCCGCGUCUGAUUAGCUAGUUGGUAAGGUAACGGCUUACCAAGGCGACGAUCAGUAGCCGACCUGAGAGGGUGAUCGGCCACAUUGGAACUGAGACACGGUCCAAACUCCUACGGGAGGCAGCAGUGGGGAAUAUUGCACAAUGGGCGAAAGCCUGAUGCAGCAACGCCGCGUGAGCGAUGAAGGCCUUCGGGUCGUAAAGCUCUGUCCUCAAGGAAGAUAAUGACGGUACUUGAGGAGGAAGCCCCGGCUAACUACGUGCCAGCAGCCGCGGUAAUACGUAGGGGGCUAGCGUUAUCCGGAAUUACUGGGCGUAAAGGGUGCGUAGGUGGUUUCUUAAGUCAGAGGUGAAAGGCUACGGCUCAACCGUAGUAAGCCUUUGAAACUGAGAAACUUGAGUGCAGGAGAGGAGAGUAGAAUUCCUAGUGUAGCGGUGAAAUGCGUAGAUAUUAGGAGGAAUACCAGUUGCGAAGGCGGCUCUCUGGACUGUAACUGACACUGAGGCACGAAAGCGUGGGGAGCAAACAGGAUUAGAUACCCUGGUAGUCCACGCCGUAAACGAUGAGUACUAGCUGUCGGAGGUUACCCCCUUCGGUGGCGCAGCUAACGCAUUAAGUACUCCGCCU
RNAcentral lists this ribosomal RNA (785 nucleotides) under uncultured bacterium. RNAcentral's name for it is "bacterial SSU rRNA". It matches the Rfam family "Bacterial small subunit ribosomal RNA", at positions 61 to 874 of the family's 1533-position model. The record is from RNAcentral.